UAAUAAAAGGUAAGCUACUAAGAGCGAAUGGUGGAUGCCUUGACUGGUAAAGGCGAUGAAGGACGUACUAGACUGCGAUAAGCUACGGGGAGCUGUCAAGAAGCUUUGAUCCGUAGAUUUCCGAAUGGGGCAACCCAAUGUAUAGAGAUAUACAUUACCUAUAUAGGAGCGAACGAGGGGAAUUGAAACAUCUUAGUACCCUCAGGAAAAGAAAUCAAUAGAGAUUGCGUCAGUAGCGGCGAGCGAAAGCGCAAGAGGGCAAACCCAGUGCUUGCACUGGGGGUUGUAGGACUGCAAUGUGCAAGAGCUGAGUUUAGCAGAACAUUCUGGAAAGUAUAGCCAUAGAGGGUGAUAGUCCCGUAUGCGAAAAACAAAGCUUAGCUAGCAGUAUCCUGAGUAGGGCGGGACACGAGGAAUCCUGUCUGAAUCCGGGUCGACCACGAUCCAACCCUAAAUACUAAUACCAGAUCGAUAGUGCACAAGUACCGUGAGGGAAAGGUGAAAAGAACUGAGGUGAUCAGAGUGAAAUAGAACCUGAAACCAUUUGCUUACAAUCAUUCAGAGCACUAUGUAGCAAUACAGUGUGAUGGACUGCCUUUUGCAUAAUGAGCCUGCGAGUUGUGGUGUCUGGCAAGGUUAAGCAAACGCGAAGCCGUAGCGAAAGCGAGUCUGAAUAGGGCGCUUAGUCAGAUGCUGCAGACCCGAAACGAAGUGAUCUAUCCAUGAGCAAGUUGAAGCUAGUGUAAGAACUAGUGGAGGACUGAACCCAUAGGCGUUGAAAAGCCCCGGGAUGACUUGUGGAUAGGGGUGAAAGGCCAAUCAAACUUCGUGAUAGCUGGUUCUCUCCGAAAUAUAUUUAGGUAUAGCGUUGUGUCGUAAUAUAAGGGGGUAGAGCACUGAAUGGGCUAGGGCAUACACCAAUGUACCAAACCCUAUCAAACUCCGAAUACCUUAUAUGUAAUCACAGCAGUCAGGCGGCGAGUGAUAAAAUCCGUCGUCAAGAGGGAAACAACCCAGACUACCAGCUAAGGUCCCUAAAUCUUACUUAAGUGGAAAACGAUGUGAAGUUACUUAAACAACCAGGAGGUUGGCUUAGAAGCAGCCAUCCUUUAAAGAAAGCGUAAUAGCUCACUGGUCUAGUGAUUUUGCGCGGAAAAUAUAACGGGGCUAAAGUAAGUACCGAAGCUGUAGACUUGCACACAACUUAGAUUAUUUAAGUUUAGAAUAUGAGAAACUAAGUUAUGUUUAGUUAUAUUUUUACUGAUUUUUAUAGAGUAAAGAUAGAAAUAAAACUUAGUAAAAUCAGUAAAAAUAUUCUUAGACUAAAGUUAAGUAGUUUAAGUUGUGUGCAAGUGGUAGGAGAGCGUUCUAUUUGCGUCGAAGGUAUACCGGUAAGGAGUGCUAGAGCGAAUAGAAGUGAGCAUGCAGGCAUGAGUAGCGAUAAUUAAUGUGAGAAUCAUUAACGCCGUAAACCCAAGGUUUCCUACGCGAUGCUCGUCAUCGUAGGGUUAGUCGGGUCCUAAGUCGAGUCCGAAAGGGGUAGACGAUGGCAAAUUGGUUAAUAUUCCAAUACCAACAUUAGUGUGCGAUGGAAGGACGCUUAGGGCUAAGGGGGCUAGCGGAUGGAAGUGCUAGUCUAAGGUCGUAGGAGGUUAUACAGGCAAAUCCGUAUAACAAUACUCCGAGAACUGAAAGGCUUUUUGAAGUCUUCGGAUGGAUAGAAGAACCCCUGAUGCCGUCGAGCCAAGAAAAGUUUCUAAGUUUAGCUAAUGUUGCCCGUACCGUAAACCGACACAGGUGGGUGGGAUGAGUAUUCUAAGGCGCGUGGAAGAACUCUCUUUAAGGAACUCUGCAAAAUAGCACCGUAUCUUCGGUAUAAGGUGUGGUUAGCUUCGUACUAGGAUUUACUCCGAAAGCGAAGAAACUUACAACAAAGAGUCCCUCCCGACUGUUUACCAAAAACACAGCACUCUGCUAACUCGUAAGAGGAUGUAUAGGGUGUGACGCCUGCCCGGUGCUCGAAGGUUAAUUGAUGGGGUUAGCAUUAGCGAAGCUCUUGAUCGAAGCCCGAGUAAACGGCGGCCGUAACUAUAACGGUCCUAAGGUAGCGAAAUUCCUUGUCGGUUAAAUACCGACCUGCAUGAAUGGCGUAACGAGAUGGGAGCUGUCUCAAAGAGGGAUCCAGUGAAAUUGUAGUGGAGGUGAAAAUUCCUCCUACCCGCGGCAAGACGGAAAGACCCCGUGGACCUUUACUACAGCUUGACACUGCUACUUGGAUAAGAAUGUGCAGGAUAGGUGGGAGGCUUUGAGUAUAUGACGCCAGUUGUAUAUGAGCCAUUGUUGAGAUACCACUCUUUCUUAUUUGGGUAGCUAACCAGCUUGAGUUAUCCUCAAGUGGGACAAUGUCUGGUGGGUAGUUUGACUGGGGCGGUCGCCUCCCAAAUAAUAACGGAGGCUUACAAAGGUUGGCUCAGAACGGUUGGAAAUCGUUCGUAGAGUAUAAAGGUAUAAGCCAGCUUAACUGCAAGACAUACAAGUCAAGCAGAGACGAAAGUCGGUCUUAGUGAUCCGGUGGUUCUGUGUGGAAGGGCCAUCGCUCAAAGGAUAAAAGGUACCCCGGGGAUAACAGGCUGAUCUCCCCCAAGAGCUCACAUCGACGGGGAGGUUUGGCACCUCGAUGUCGGCUCAUCGCAUCCUGGGGCUGGAGCAGGUCCCAAGGGUAUGGCUGUUCGCCAUUUAAAGCGGUACGCGAGCUGGGUUCAGAACGUCGUGAGACAGUUCGGUCCCUAUCUGCCGUGGGCGUAAGAAGAUUGAAGAGAUUUGACCCUAGUACGAGAGGACCGGGUUGAACAAACCACUGGUGUAGCUGUUGUUCUGCCAAGAGCAUCGCAGCGUAGCUAAGUUUGGAAAGGAUAAACGCUGAAAGCAUCUAAGCGUGAAGCCAACUCUAAGAUGAAUCUUCUCUAAGCUCUCUAGAAGACUACUAGUUUGAUAGGCUGGGUGUGUAAUGGAUGAAAGUCCUUUAGCUGACCAGUACUAAUAGAGCGUUUGGCUUAUCUUUAUAAAGCAU
Molecule: ribosomal RNA, 3070 nt
Filed under: Campylobacter jejuni subsp. jejuni
Lineage: Bacteria; Pseudomonadati; Campylobacterota; Epsilonproteobacteria; Campylobacterales; Campylobacteraceae
Description: 23S ribosomal RNA
Rfam family: Bacterial large subunit ribosomal RNA
Source: RNAcentral